CGUCAAUGUCGCGGUAUCGAACUCAUUGCAUCAGAAAAUUUCACUUCAUUCGCUGUAAUUGAAGCUCUAGGCAGUGCCUUAACCAAUAAAUACUCAGAGGGUAUACCCGGAAACCGUUAUUACGGUGGAAAUGAAUACAUUGAUCAAAUCGAAAAUCUCACUAGAAGUCGAGCAUUACAAGCAUUUCACUUAGAUCCAACAAAAUGGGGUGUUAAUGUUCAGCCAUAUUCAGGUAGCCCAGCUAAUUUCGCUGCGUAUACAGCAGUUUUAAACCCCCACGAUAGGAUUAUGGGUUUAGAUUUGCCGUCGGGAGGGCAUUUAACUCAUGGGUAUUAUACAUCUGGUGGG
Molecule: unclassified non-coding RNA, 348 nt
Filed under: Hevea brasiliensis (rubber tree)
Lineage: Eukaryota; Viridiplantae; Streptophyta; Magnoliopsida; Malpighiales; Euphorbiaceae
Source: RNAcentral